RNAcentral lists this ribosomal RNA (223 nucleotides) under Vibrio parahaemolyticus. RNAcentral's name for it is "partial 16S ribosomal RNA". It matches the Rfam family "Bacterial small subunit ribosomal RNA", at positions 675 to 897 of the family's 1533-position model. The record is from RNAcentral. Lineage: Bacteria; Pseudomonadati; Pseudomonadota; Gammaproteobacteria; Vibrionales; Vibrionaceae.
GUAGCGGUGAAAUGCGUAGAGAUCUGAAGGAAUACCGGUGGCGAAGGCGGCCCCCUGGACAGAUACUGACACUCAGAUGCGAAAGCGUGGGGAGCAAACAGGAUUAGAUACCCUGGUAGUCCACGCCGUAAACGAUGUCUACUUGGAGGUUGUGGCCUUGAGCCGUGGCUUUCGGAGCUAACGCGUUAAGUAGACCGCCUGGGGAGUACGGUCGCAAGAUUAA